Molecule: ribosomal RNA, 419 nt
Filed under: uncultured Gemmatimonas sp.
Lineage: Bacteria; Pseudomonadati; Gemmatimonadota; Gemmatimonadia; Gemmatimonadales; Gemmatimonadaceae
Also listed under: 1 other name
Description: bacterial SSU rRNA
Rfam family: Bacterial small subunit ribosomal RNA
Source: RNAcentral
UGGGGAAUCUUGCGCAAUGGUCUAACGACUGACGCAGCGACGCCGCGUGUGGGAGGACGCCUUUCGGGGUGUAAACCACUGUUGCCCGGGACGAACAGGGUCAUUCAUGGCCCCUGACGGUACCGGGUGAGGAAGCACCGGCUAACUCCGUGCCAGCAGCCGCGGUAAUACGGAGGGUGCGAGCGUUGUCCGGAAUCAUUGGGCGUAAAGGGCGCGUAGGUGGCUUCUUAAGCGUGCGGUGAAAGCCUGGGGCUCAACCCCGGGUCGGCCGUGCGAACUGGGGGGCUGGAGCACUGUAGAGGCAGGCGGAAUUCCGGGUGUAGCGGUGGAAUGCGUAGAGAUCCGGAAGAACACCGGUGGCGAAGGCGGCCUGCUGGGCAGUUGCUGACACUGAGGCGCGACAGCGUGGGGAGCAAACA